RNAcentral lists this ribosomal RNA (407 nucleotides) under uncultured bacterium. Its description in RNAcentral is "partial 16S ribosomal RNA". It matches the Rfam family "Bacterial small subunit ribosomal RNA", at positions 30 to 526 of the family's 1533-position model. The record is from RNAcentral.
AUUGAACGCUAGCGGGAUGCUUUACACAUGCAAGUCGAACGGAGUGGCGGACGGGUGAGUAAUAUCUCGGAACGUGCCCAGUAGCGGGGGAUCACUACUCGAAAGAGUGGCUAAUCCCGCAUACUAUUGGAGCGGCCGAUAUCGGAUUAGCUAGUUGGUGGGGUAAAGGCUCACAAAGGCCACGCUCCGUAGCUGGUUUGAGAGGACGACCAGCCACACUGGGACUGAGACACGGCCCAGACUCCUACGUGAGGCGGCAGGGGGUAAUUUUGGACAAUGGGGGAAACCCUGAUGCAGCCAUCCCGCGUGUAUGAGGAGGGCCUUCGGGUUGUAAAGUACGUUUGGCAGAGAAGCGGUAUCUGCAGAAGAAGCACCGGCUAACUACGUGCCAGCAGCCGCGGUAAUAC